RNAcentral lists this ribosomal RNA (468 nucleotides) under uncultured bacterium. RNAcentral describes it as "partial 16S ribosomal RNA". It matches the Rfam family "Bacterial small subunit ribosomal RNA", at positions 28 to 507 of the family's 1533-position model. The record is from RNAcentral.
GACGAACGCUGGCGGCGUGCCUAACACAUGCAAGUCGAACGGAAAGGUCCUGCUUUUGUGGGGUGCUCGAGUGGAGAACGGGUGAGCAACACGUGAGUUACCAGCCACUGACCUUGGGAUAACCUCAUGCAACUGGGGCUAAUACCGGCUAGGAGCUCCUGCUGCUUGGUGGGGGUUGGAAAGUUUCGGCGGUUGGGGAUGGACUCGCGGCUCAUCAGCUUGUUGGUGGGGUAGUGGCUUACCAAGGCAUUGACGGGUAGCCGGCCUGGGAGGGUGACAUGCCACAUUAGGACUGAGAUACGGCCCAGACUCCUACGGGAGGCAGCGGUGGAGAGUGUUACACAAUGGGCGGGGGCCUGAUGCGGCAACGCAGCGUGCGGGAUGACGGCCAUGGGGUUGUAUUCCGCUUUCGCCUGUGACGGGACGUGAGUGACGGUAACGGGUAAAGAAGCACCGGCUAACUACGUG